GCUUACGGCCACACCCGCCUGGUUCACGUUUGAUCUCGGAAGCUAAGAUAGGUUGGGCCUGGUUAGUACUUGGAUGGGAGACCGCCUGGGAAUACCAGGUGCUGUAAGCU
RNAcentral lists this ribosomal RNA (110 nucleotides) under Scophthalmus maximus (turbot). Lineage: Eukaryota; Metazoa; Chordata; Actinopteri; Pleuronectiformes; Scophthalmidae. The record is from RNAcentral.